GAAAUGCGAUAAGUAGUGUGAAUUGCAGAAUUCAGUGAAUCAUCGAAUCUUUGAACGCACAUUGCGCCCUUUGGUAUUCCAAAGGGCAUGCCUGUUCGAGCGUCAUUUGUACCCUCAAGCUUUGCUUGGUGUUGGGCGUCUUGUCUCUAGCUUUGCUGGAGACUCGCCUUAAGUAAUUGGCAGCCGGCCUACUGGUUUCGGAGCGCAGCACAAGUCGCACUCUCUAUCAGCAAAGGUCUAGCAUCCAUUAAGCCUUUUUUUCAACUUUUGACCUCGGAUCAGGUAGGGAUACCCGCUGAACUUAAGC
Molecule: unclassified non-coding RNA, 307 nt
Filed under: plant metagenome
Description: partial contains 5.8S ribosomal RNA, internal transcribed spacer 2, and large subunit ribosomal RNA
Rfam family: 5.8S ribosomal RNA (bases 1-105)
Source: RNAcentral